Hyla sarda is the source of this 813-nucleotide long non-coding RNA. RefSeq lists it as uncharacterized. The transcript has 3 exons. NCBI's taxonomy places the organism in Eukaryota, Metazoa, Chordata, Amphibia, Anura, Hylidae. The record is from RefSeq and is a predicted model, not a curated record.
GACUAAUUAAAAAACAGGGCUAAUCUGGAAAUCCUCAAAAUGAAAGGAAUAUCCUGGAGUGAGCAGCAAAUCAUAGGAGAUUAUCACAUUCAUGGCACCAAAAGCAGGAAGAAGAACCAGGAUCGGAGGAUGGGACUGCGAUAUUAGCGGCACCAGGGGAGCUGUGAAAGUUUUCCAACAGAUUAUUCUGGCUAGACUCCAACACCAACUACUGAAUCUCUGAUGGUUUCAUUCUCCUCUAUAAACAUAGAUAUGAAAUGUAUUUUAUUUCUUAUUGGAGACUGUUUAGAGUAAAUUCUUCUUACCUGUCUACACAGAACAGAGGAAGCCUUGGCUAUUAAAUGAAAAUGUAAAGGCUUUUUCUAAAAAUAUUAUAUAGUAAAUGUAUACUUUAAAAUCCUGUACAAUUUGCCACUUUGCUUGUAUAAUUUUGGCUUAAAACAUUUAAGGGUCUUUUUCUUUUCCUUCCCAAGGGAAAAAAAAAAAUCUUAAUAGUGAUAGAAAGGUAGAACAUUUAGUCCUGCAUACUUUUUAAAGAUUUACCACAGCAGGCAAUUGAUGUUUUGUUUUUUAAUUUUGACCUUUAUUGUACCCUGCAAAGAACUAAACUUUCUGCCACACAUUAUCAUGGCAGGGGUGUCUAAUUCUUAUUAGUGUUGGUAAAUACCCAAUACCCUGUUAUUUAUAGAAGUGUUGAUGUAAAUUGUUAAACUACUCAUGCAUGAUGUGAUAUCAGCUUGGACCAUAGUAAAGAUCCCAAAUAUUGUAUGCUUUGAUCUAAAUGGUAUAAUCCACUGUACCAAAAUAACUUAA